Molecule: ribosomal RNA, 464 nt
Filed under: uncultured bacterium
Lineage: Bacteria
Description: partial 16S ribosomal RNA
Rfam family: Bacterial small subunit ribosomal RNA
Source: RNAcentral
GACGAACGCUGGCGGCGUGCUUAACACAUGCAAGUCGAACGGAAAGGCCCAGCUUGCUGGGUGCUCGAGUGGCGAACGGGUGAGUAACACGUGGGUGAUCUGCCCCUAACUUCGGGAUAAGCUUGGGAAACUGGGUCUAAUACCGGAUAGGACAAUCGUUUAGUGUCGGUUGUGGAAAGUUUUUUCGGUUAGGGAUGAGCCCGCGGCCUAUCAGCUUGUUGGUGGGGUAAUGGCCUACCAAGGCGUCGACGGGUAGCCGGCCUGAGAGGGUGGACGGCCACAUUGGGACUGAGAUACGGCCCAGACUCCUACGGGAGGCAGCAGUGGGGAAUAUUGCACAAUGGGCGCAAGCCCGAUGCAGCGACGCCGCGUGGGGGAUGACGGCCUUCGGGUUGUAAACCUCUUUCGACAGGGACGAAGCUUUGGUGACGGUACCUGUAGAAGAAGCACCGGCUAACUACGUG